Molecule: ribosomal RNA, 253 nt
Filed under: uncultured bacterium
Lineage: Bacteria
Description: partial 16S ribosomal RNA
Rfam family: Bacterial small subunit ribosomal RNA
Source: RNAcentral
UACGUAGGUGGCAAGCGUUGUCCGGAAUUAUUGGGCGUAAAGCGCGCGCAGGCGGUUACUCAAGUCGGAUGUGAAAGCCCUCGGCUUAACUGAGGAAGUGCACCCGAAACUGAGUAGCUAGAGUACUAAAGAGGGUCGCGGAAUUCCCGGUGUAGAGGUGAAAUUCGUAGAUAUCGGGAGGAACACCGGUGGCGAAGGCGGCGACCUGGGUAGAUACUGACGCUGAGGCGCGAAAGCGUGGGGAGCAAACAGG